RNAcentral lists this ribosomal RNA (1407 nucleotides) under Escherichia coli. RNAcentral's name for it is "partial 23S ribosomal RNA". It matches the Rfam family "Bacterial large subunit ribosomal RNA", at positions 375 to 1787 of the family's 2925-position model. The record is from RNAcentral. Lineage: Bacteria; Pseudomonadati; Pseudomonadota; Gammaproteobacteria; Enterobacterales; Enterobacteriaceae.
GUACACAAAAAUGCACAUAUUGUGAGCUCGAUGAGUAGGGCGGGACACGUGGUAUCCUGUCUGAAUAUGGGGGGACCAUCCUCCAAGGCUAAAUACUCCUGACUGACCGAUAGUGAACCAGUACCGUGAGGGAAAGGCGAAAAGAACCCCGGCGAGGGGAGUGAAAAAGAACCUGAAACCGUGUACGUACAAGCAGUGGGAGCCUCUUUAUGGGGUGACUGCGUACCUUUUGUAUAAUGGGUCAGCGACUUAUAUUCUGUAGCAAGGUUAACCGAAUAGGGGAGCCGAAGGGAAACCGAGUCUUAACUGGGCGUUAAGUUGCAGGGUAUAGACCCGAAACCCGGUGAUCUAGCCAUGGGCAGGUUGAAGGUUGGGUAACACUAACUGGAGGACCGAACCGACUAAUGUUGAAAAAUUAGCGGAUGACUUGUGGCUGGGGGUGAAAGGCCAAUCAAACCGGGAGAUAGCUGGUUCUCCCCGAAAGCUAUUUAGGUAGCGCCUCGUGAAUUCAUCUCCGGGGGUAGAGCACUGUUUCGGCAAGGGGGUCAUCCCGACUUACCAACCCGAUGCAAACUGCGAAUACCGGAGAAUGUUAUCACGGGAGACACACGGCGGGUGCUAACGUCCGUCGUGAAGAGGGAAACAACCCAGACCGCCAGCUAAGGUCCCAAAGUCAUGGUUAAGUGGGAAACGAUGUGGGAAGGCCCAGACAGCCAGGAUGUUGGCUUAGAAGCAGCCAUCAUUUAAAGAAAGCGUAAUAGCUCACUGGUCGAGUCGGCCUGCGCGGAAGAUGUAACGGGGCUAAACCAUGCACCGAAGCUGCGGCAGCGACACUAUGUGUUGUUGGGUAGGGGAGCGUUCUGUAAGCCUGUGAAGGUGGCCUGUGAGGGUUGCUGGAGGUAUCAGAAGUGCGAAUGCUGACAUAAGUAACGAUAAAGCGGGUGAAAAGCCCGCUCGCCGGAAGACCAAGGGUUCCUGUCCAACGUUAAUCGGGGCAGGGUGAGUCGACCCCUAAGGCGAGGCCGAAAGGCGUAGUCGAUGGGAAACAGGUUAAUAUUCCUGUACUUGGUGUUACUGCGAAGGGGGGACGGAGAAGGCUAUGUUGGCCGGGCGACGGUUGUCCCGGUUUAAGCGUGUAGGCUGGUUUUCCAGGCAAAUCCGGAAAACCAAGGCUGAGGCGUGAUGACGAGGCACUACGGUGCUGAAGCGACAAAUGCCCUGCUUCCAGGAAAAGCCUCUAAGCAUCAGGUAACAUCAAAUCGUACCCCAAACCGACACAGGUGGUCAGGUAGAGAAUACCAAGGCGCUUGAGAGAACUCGGGUGAAGGAACUAGGCAAAAUGGUGCCGUAACUUCGGGAGAAGGCACGCUGAUAUGUAGGUGAAGCGACUUGCUCGUGGAGCUGAAA